GACUCAGUGGUGUAAUCGGCAACACUCCAGCCAAACCUAGUGAUGGUUUGAAGAUUAGGCUGGUGAUCCCCGUUCGACUCGGGGCUGGGUCA
This is a non-coding RNA of Mycena rebaudengoi, 92 nucleotides long. Lineage: Eukaryota; Fungi; Basidiomycota; Agaricomycetes; Agaricales; Mycenaceae. The record is from the annotation of a GenBank genome assembly.